Small nucleolar RNA from Meriones unguiculatus (Mongolian gerbil), 64 nucleotides. RefSeq annotates it as small nucleolar RNA SNORD109A. The transcript has a single exon. Lineage: Eukaryota; Metazoa; Chordata; Mammalia; Rodentia; Muridae. The record is from RefSeq and is a predicted model, not a curated record.
GGAUCUAUGAUGACAACAGGUAAGUGAUGACAAUGACUGACUUAGAAGAUGCGAUCCGAGGUCC